AUUGAACGCUGGCGGCAGGCUUAACACAUGCAAGUCGAGCGGGGUGAUGGUGCUUGCACUAUCACUUAGCGGCGGACGGGUGAGUAAUGCUUAGGAAUCUGCCUAUUAGUGGGGGACAACAUCUCGAAAGGGAUGCUAAUACCGCAUACGUCCUACGGGAGAAAGCAGGGGAUCACUUGUGACCUUGCGCUAAUAGAUGAGCCUAAGUCGGAUUAGCUAGUUGGUGGGGUAAAGGCCUAACAAGGCGACGAUCUGUAGCGGGUCUGAGAGGAUGAUCCGCCACACUGGGAAUGAGGCACGGCCCAGGCUCCUACGGGAGGCAGCAGUGGGGAAUAUUGGACAUGGGGGGAACCCUGAUCCAGCCAUGCCGCGUGUGUGAAGAAGGCCUUAUGGUUGCAAAGCACUUUAAGCUAGGAGGAGGCUCUUUUGGUUAAUACCCAAGAUGAGUGGACGUUACUCGCAGAAUAAGCACCGGCUAACUCUGUGCCAGCCGCCGCCGUAA
RNAcentral lists this ribosomal RNA (502 nucleotides) under uncultured bacterium. RNAcentral's name for it is "partial 16S ribosomal RNA". It matches the Rfam family "Bacterial small subunit ribosomal RNA", at positions 30 to 523 of the family's 1533-position model. The record is from RNAcentral.